UCGGGCUGAAGACUCUACUUGACUAGCUGAGAGGGAGGUGCAUGGCCGUCGUCAGUUCGUACUGUGAAGCAUCCUGUUAAGUCAGGCCAACGAGCGAGACCCACGCCCACAGUUGCCAGCGUACUCUCUGGAGUGACGGGUACACUGUGGGGACCGCCGCUGCUAAAGCGGAGGAAGGAAUGGGCAACGGUAGGUCAGUAUGCCCCGAAUAUCCCGGGCUACACGCGAGCUACAAUGGUUGGUACAAUGGGUAUCUACCCCGAAAGGGGACGGGAAUCUCCUAAACCAAUCUUAGUUCGGAUUGAGGGCUGCAACUCGCCCUCAUGAAGCUGGAAUCCGUAGUAAUCGCGUUUCAACAGAACGCGGUGAAUACGUCCCUGCCGUCCUU
Molecule: ribosomal RNA, 388 nt
Filed under: uncultured Methanolinea sp.
Lineage: Archaea; Methanobacteriati; Methanobacteriota; Methanomicrobia; Methanomicrobiales; Methanoregulaceae
Description: bacterial SSU rRNA
Rfam family: Archaeal small subunit ribosomal RNA
Source: RNAcentral